This 489-nucleotide ribosomal RNA is filed under the name Pseudomonas aeruginosa. RNAcentral describes it as "bacterial SSU rRNA". It matches the Rfam family "Bacterial small subunit ribosomal RNA", at positions 30 to 521 of the family's 1533-position model. The record is from RNAcentral. Lineage: Bacteria; Pseudomonadati; Pseudomonadota; Gammaproteobacteria; Pseudomonadales; Pseudomonadaceae.
UGAACGCUGGCGGCGGCUUAACAUGCAGUCGACGCGGGGGAGGUAGCUUGCUACGGACCUAGCGGCGGACGGGUGAGUAAUGCUUAGGAAUCUGCCUAUUAGUGGGGGACAACAUCUCGAAAGGGAUGCUAAUACCGCAUACGUCCUACGGGAGAAAGCAGGGGAUCUUCGGACCUUGCGCUAAUAGAUGAGCCUAAGUCGGAUUAGCUAGUUGGUGGGGUAAAGGCCUACCAAGGCGACGAUCUGUAGCGGGUCUGAGAGGAUGAUCCGCCACACUGGGACUGAGACACGGCCCAGACUCCUACGGGAGGCAGCAGUGGGGAAUAUUGGACAAUGGGGGGAACCCUGAUCCAGCCAUGCCGCGUGUGUGAAGAAGGCCUUAUGGUUGUAAAGCACUUUAAGCGAGGAGGAGGCUACUUUAGUUAAUACCUAGAGAUAGUGGACGUUACUCGCAGAAUAAGCACCGGCUAACUCUGUGCCACACCGGGU